ACGGAUUCGGUUCAUAGGGGACCUCGUUUUCUUCACGGGAUGCGCAGCGGCUGCAGUAGCGAGGCAGCUGGCGUGCAGGAGAGGUGGAGUGGUGGAGGUCCUCUCUGCUGCAGGUGAUGGGGAAACGAAGCGCCUCCAGCCGCCGGAGAUCCAUCUGAACUCAACAUAGCAAGUAUAAAUUAGUAGGAGUUAUUUGCAGUAUCAAAAUUUAACUAACGUACGAUUUU
This is a long non-coding RNA of Scylla paramamosain (green mud crab), 227 nucleotides long. RefSeq lists it as uncharacterized. NCBI's taxonomy places the organism in Eukaryota, Metazoa, Arthropoda, Malacostraca, Decapoda, Portunidae. The transcript is spliced from 2 exons. The record is from RefSeq and is a predicted model, not a curated record.